AGUCACUGACAUUAGAUACCCGCGUAGUCCCAGCCGUAAACUAUGCGCGUUAGGUGUAUCGGUGACCACGAGUCACCGAGGUGCCGAAGGGAAACCGUGAAACGUGCCGCCUGGGAAGUACGGUCGCAAGGCUGAAACUUAAAGGAAUUGGCGGGGGAGCACAACAACGGGUGGAGCCUGCGGUUUAAUUGGACUCAACGCCGGACAACUCACCGGGAACGACAGCAAUAUGUAGGCCAGGCUGAAGACCUUGCCUGAAUCGCUG
RNAcentral lists this ribosomal RNA (265 nucleotides) under uncultured archaeon. RNAcentral describes it as "partial 16S ribosomal RNA". It matches the Rfam family "Archaeal small subunit ribosomal RNA", at positions 716 to 982 of the family's 1478-position model. The record is from RNAcentral.